This 1250-nucleotide ribosomal RNA is filed under the name metagenome. RNAcentral describes it as "bacterial SSU rRNA". It matches the Rfam family "Bacterial small subunit ribosomal RNA", at positions 251 to 1516 of the family's 1533-position model. The record is from RNAcentral.
GGUGGGGUAAGAGCCUACCAAGGCGACGAUCAGUAGCUGGUCUGAGAGGAUGAUCAGCCACACUGGGACUGAGACACGGCCCAGACUCCUACGGGAGGCAGCAGUGGGGAAUUUUCCGCAAUGGGCGAAAGCCUGACGGAGCAACGCCGCGUGAGGGAUGAAGGCCUCUGGGCUGUAAACCUCUUUUCUCAAGGAAGAAGACCUGACGGUACUUGAGGAAUAAGCCACGGCUAAUUCCGUGCCAGCAGCCGCGGUAAUACGGGAGUGGCAAGCGUUAUCCGGAAUUAUUGGGCGUAAAGCGUCCGCAGGUGGCCCUGUAAGUCUGUCGUUAAAGCGUGGAGCUUAACUCCAUUUAAGCGAUGGAAACUACAGGGCUAGAGUGUGGUAGGGGCAGAGGGAAUUCCCGGUGUAGCGGUGAAAUGCGUAGAUAUCGGGAAGAACACCAGUGGCGAAGGCGCUCUGCUGGGCCAUCACUGACACUCAUGGACGAAAGCCAGGGGAGCGAAAGGGAUUAGAUACCCCUGUAGUCCUGGCCGUAAACGAUGAACACUAGGUGUCGGGGGAAUCGACCCCCUCGGUGUCGUAGCCAACGCGUUAAGUGUUCCGCCUGGGGAGUACGCACGCAAGUGUGAAACUCAAAGGAAUUGACGGGGGCCCGCACAAGCGGUGGAGUAUGUGGUUUAAUUCGAUGCAACGCGAAGAACCUUACCAGGGUUUGACAUCCUGCGAAUCCCUUGGAAACGAGGGAGUGCCUUCGGGAGCGCAGAGACAGGUGGUGCAUGGCUGUCGUCAGCUCGUGUCGUGAGAUGUUGGGUUAAGUCCCGCAACGAGCGCAACCCACGUCGUUAGUUGCCAGCAUUCAGUUGGGCACUCUAGCGAGACCGCCGGUGAUAAACCGGAGGAAGGUGUGGAUGACGUCAAGUCAUCAUGCCCCUUACAUCCUGGGCUACACACGUACUACAAUGCUACGGACAAAGGGCAGCGAUCCCGCGAGGGCUAGCAAAUCCCAUAAACCGUGGCUCAGUUCAGAUCGUAGGCUGCAACUCGCCUACGUGAAGGAGGAAUCGCUAGUAAUCGCAGGUCAGCAUACUGCGGUGAAUACGUUCCCGGGCCUUGUACACACCGCCCGUCACACCAUGGAAGUUGGCCACGCCCGAAGUCGUUACUCCAACCCUUGUGGAGGAGGACGCCGAAGGUGGGGCUGAUGACUGGGGUGAAGUCGUAACAAGGUAGCCGUACCGGAAGGUGCG